Molecule: ribosomal RNA, 497 nt
Filed under: uncultured bacterium
Lineage: Bacteria
Description: partial 16S ribosomal RNA
Rfam family: Bacterial small subunit ribosomal RNA
Source: RNAcentral
GAUGAACGCUAGCGGCGUGCCUAAUACAUGCAAGUCGAGCGAACAGAUGAGGAACUUGCUCCUCUUACUUUAGCUGCGGACGGGUGAGUAACACGUGGACAACCUACCUAUAAGACUGGGAUAACUUCGGGAAACCGGAGCUAAUACCGGAUAAUAUAUUUAACCGCAUGAUUCAAUAGUGAAAGACGGUUUUGCUGUCACUUAUAGAUGGAUCCGCGCCUCAUUAGCUAGUUGGUAAGGUAACGGCUUACCAAGGCGACGAUGCGUAGCCGACCUGAGAGGGUGAUCGGCCACACUGGAACUGAGACACGGUCCAGACUCAUACGGGAGGCAGCAGUAGGGAAUCUUCCGCAAUGGGCGAAAGCCUGACGGAGCACCGCCGAGUGAGUGAUGAAGGUCUUCGGAUCGUAAAACUCUGUUAUUAGGGAAGAACAAAUGUGUAAGUAACUAUGCACGUCUUGACGGUACCUAAUCAGAAAGCCACGGCUAACUACGUG